CAUGUCCCACAUCAAGACGGCACGAAGCCUCCACAUCAUGUGCCACAUCCCAGUCUUCUGCUGGAUCACUGCUACGGUUCUGGAGGAUCUGCUGGAAACCAGAGAGGGAGGAGAGCUGCCCAAGACCCUGACGGAGAUGUACGCAGAGUUCCUGGGGUUUCAGAUGGAUCGGACUAAAGACAAGUACGGACCAGAACAGAGCAGCAACUACAUCAAGUCAUUGGCUAAACUGGCUUUUAAGCAGCUGCUAAAGGGAAACUUGAUCUUCUAUGAGGAAGAUCUGAAAGAGAGCGGCAUCGAUGUCAGAGGAGCCUCAGUGUGUUCAGGAGUGUUCACAGAGAUCUUUAAACAGGAGCGAGGGAGGAAAACCAAGGACAAGAUGUUCAGCUUUGUUCAUCUGAGCGUUCAGGAGUUUCUGGCUGCUGUUCACAUGAUGCUCUGUUACACCAACGGGAAGAUGGAGGAACUGAAGGAGUUUCUGAAAGACUCCAAUGCUGCUCUGGAUGUUGUCCUGAGUAGAACCAUGUUUAAAUCCCUCCUCAGUCCAAGUGGCCACCUAGACCUGUUUGUUCGCUUCCUUCAUGGCCUCUGUCUGGAGUCCAACCAGAGAAUCUUAGGAGGUUUGCUGGGUCACACAAAGAACAGUCCAGAAACCAUCCAGAGAAUCAUCAAGAACCUGAAGGAGAUGAACAGUGAUAGAAUCUGUCCAGACAGAAGCAUCAACAUCUUCCACUGUCUGAUGGAGAUGAACGACCACUCAGUCCAUCAGCAGAUCCAAGAGUUCCUGAAGUCAGAGAACAGAACAAAGAAAGAACUCUCCUUGAUCCAGUGCUCAGCUCUGGCCUACAUGCUGCAGAUGUCAGAGGAGGUUCUGGAUGAGUUGGACCUGAACCAGUACAACACAUCACUGGAGGGACGACGGAGACUGAUUCCAGCUGUGAGGAACUGCAGAAAGGCUCAACUUUCUGGUUGUGGACUCACAAAGACUCACUGUGAAGUUGUGGCCUCAGCUCUGAAGUCCAACCCGUCACAUCUGACACAUCUAGACCUGAGCGGAAACGACCUCCAGGACUCAUCAGUGAAGGUUCUGUGUGUUGGACUGGAGAGUCCUCACUGUCGACUGGAGACUCUGAGGUCAGUGUUUCUUUUCAGUCAAUUCAGACAUCUCCACUUGAAUCUAGAAUGAAAAGAUUCUAAAGAAGGCUCGUGUCAGAAACCUGCAGGAAUGAUUGACAGUUUAUUGUGCCUCUAUCAAGUCUAUGAAGGUUUGUGACGUCUUUUCUAUCAAAGUGACACUUUAAGUGUGACACAGCAGCAGAGACUCAGUAAAUCAUUUCUCCACAUCUCCAGAGAAGACAACAUCCAUCUGACUGGGAUCAGUUCUGAAGAUGAUUCACUUCAUCAAUUAUGAUUAACUCACUGCAGUUUGUCAGAGAUCAGCUGUGAUUCUCUGGUCUCAGCUCUGAAGUCCAACCCGUCACAUCUGACACAACUGGACCUAAGCGACAACAAGCUGCAGGAUUCAGGAGUGAAGCAUCUGUGUGGUUUUC
Molecule: RNA transcript, 1550 nt
Organism: Betta splendens (Siamese fighting fish)
Lineage: Eukaryota; Metazoa; Chordata; Actinopteri; Anabantiformes; Osphronemidae
Gene name: NACHT, LRR and PYD domains-containing protein 12-like
Exons: 3
Source: RefSeq, a predicted model, not a curated record